RNAcentral lists this unclassified non-coding RNA (1591 nucleotides) under Hevea brasiliensis (rubber tree). Lineage: Eukaryota; Viridiplantae; Streptophyta; Magnoliopsida; Malpighiales; Euphorbiaceae. The record is from RNAcentral.
CACAGGUCCAAAACCACCUUCUCCCAGCUUGUUUUCACUUGAAAAGUUAUCUGUGGUCUUCAUUAUGGUGAUCAAAUCAAUUAUUGGUAACUCCAAGUCUUCAUUUCUGCUUUGAUCGUUGUAAUCCCUUCCAAUUACGCUUCUCAUCUUCUCUCGGAGUUUAAUUCUCCUUUUCCUCAUAUACAAGAUCCAUCCAAGUACAAGCACUCCUGUGCCUAAUAUAGUGGUGCAGACAAUGAUUCCUAUUCGCUUCUCCCUCCUGGAUUCUCUCUUCUUCUUGAUCUCAUCUAGGUAUGAAGUAGCCAUUCGUACAUAGAGGUCUUGCCCUACAUCAGCAAAUUCCCUAAUGUCAAUCAACUCACUAAACCAAAGCAAGCAUCCACUUCCGUCUGUGAUAUUCAAAGUUGAAUAAGCUGUACAAGAGCAAUUGUUCAGGCACACACUCUCACAUUCUCUAAGGUCCAUGGUCCUGUUAAACCAGGAAUUUUUCGUAUCUGGCAAUUUGACGCCUGAUAUUUUCUGAAACCCCUCUCCUGCCCUACAAAUUGAUCCAUUCUUUCUUACGCAUCCGUUAGACCAAUACCCUGAAUCCCAAGCUUGCUCAUCUUUCGGUACAAAUCCAUCCAGGCAAGCACAUGGCGGCGAAUUGUUAAUGUUACAAGUUCCAUAUGCACCGCAAACCGCAUAUCUGUCGCAGUUAUCCAUCUGUGUUGUUAAGUACAGGUUCCAAGUUUGAGUGCUAUUCGACCAUGUAAGACGCUGGAAGAUACCAUCAUUAUUUAGCACCAUCAUUGAAAUAACGGAGUUGCCAAUAAGAUCAUACCUGUAAUAUAUCUCCUGCUGAUUGUAAACGAACUCGUAAGUAUAAAUUGGGUUUGGUUUCAAAUUAGGCAUCCCACUGAAUCUAAGACCAUUCCAAGGUCCCGAACGAAACACUAUAUUCUCAUCUUUCCUGAUGUAUAUUUGGGGAUACCCACCGGGAUCAAGCCUAGUUGUAGAAUCACCUAAAGAAGGAUCGGUGGUGCUUUUCCAGGAUACAAGAUAUCGAUCAUGGCCAGUUACCAAGUUCCUCCCAAACUUGAUGCCUGGUAAAAACGUGUCACUUAAGUAAUCAAAACUUUGCCAUAAGUAAUUAUCCUCAUUAGUGUCAUUUGCCUCUCUAAUAACAAGAUUCCCUGAGUCCAAAAGCUGAGCUACUGGGUUCUGCACCACUCUUGAUGUGUUGGUGACCCAUAUGACAGUGUUUGUUGAAUUAUGGAGAACAAGAAUUCCCCUGCUGGUAAGUUGCAGAACUCCUGAUGAAUCAUUGAGUGGCAUUGCUCUGUUGGCAACCCAGACCACAGUCUUAUUAGAGAAAGGAUACCAAAUUCCAACAUAUCGACUGCUUGAACCGCUGUAGCCGAAGAAUCCCAGAGCAAAUCUACCGCUAGCAGAAACUAUAGUCUCGCCGUCUCUGAUUGUCUGGUUGACGGCUAUGGUAUCAACAGCAAGGGAGACUAUUAAGAAAGAGAAAAAAGCAGAGAAUAAAGAAAGAAGCUUAAAAUCUUUCAUGGAAAAGUUAAAAUUUGAUUGCCCAACAAAAAAAGGGUGU